AAGUAAUAGAACAGCUGGAAAAGUCUGGUAGGUUCAGAAAACAACAUCACUUUACUACCACAUUUCUACUGUA
Etheostoma spectabile (orangethroat darter) is the source of this 73-nucleotide long non-coding RNA. RefSeq lists it as uncharacterized. The record is from RefSeq and is a predicted model, not a curated record. NCBI's taxonomy places the organism in Eukaryota, Metazoa, Chordata, Actinopteri, Perciformes, Percidae. The transcript is spliced from 3 exons.